RNAcentral lists this ribosomal RNA (446 nucleotides) under uncultured bacterium. RNAcentral's name for it is "partial 16S ribosomal RNA". It matches the Rfam family "Bacterial small subunit ribosomal RNA", at positions 338 to 795 of the family's 1533-position model. The record is from RNAcentral.
CCUACGGGAGGCAGCAGUCGAGAAUCAUUCACAAUGGGGGAAACCCUGAUGGUGCGACGCCGCGUGGGGGAAUGAAGGUCUUCGGUUUGUAAACCCCUGUCAUGUGGGAGCAAAUUAAAAAGAUAGUCCCACAAGAGGAAGAGACGGCUAACUCUGUGCCAGCCGCCGCGGUACUACAGAGGUCUCAAGCGUUGUUCGGAAUUACUGGGAGUAAAGCGUGCGUAGGCUGUUUAGUAAGUCGUGUGUGAAAGGCGCGGGCUCAACCCGCGGACGGCACAUGAUACUGCGAGACUAGAGUAAUGGAGGGGGAACCGGAAUUCUCGGUGUAGCAGUGAAAUGCGUAGAUAUCGAGAGGAACACUCGGGGCGAAGGCGGGUUCCUGGACAGUAACUGACGCUGAGGCACGAAGGCCAGGGGAGCGAAAGGGAUUAGAUACCCGGGUAGUC